This 473-nucleotide ribosomal RNA is filed under the name Escherichia coli. RNAcentral's name for it is "bacterial SSU rRNA". It matches the Rfam family "Bacterial small subunit ribosomal RNA", at positions 1 to 470 of the family's 1533-position model. RNAcentral also lists the same sequence under 3 other names. Lineage: Bacteria; Pseudomonadati; Pseudomonadota; Gammaproteobacteria; Enterobacterales; Enterobacteriaceae. The record is from RNAcentral.
AAAUUGAAGAGUUUGAUCAUGGCUCAGAUUGAACGCUGGCGGCAGGCCUAACACAUGCAAGUCGAACGGUAACAGGAAGCAGCUUGCUGCUUUGCUGACGAGUGGCGGACGGGUGAGUAAUGUCUGGGAAACUGCCUGAUGGAGGGGGAUAACUACUGGAAACGGUAGCUAAUACCGCAUAACGUCGCAAGACCAAAGAGGGGGACCUUCGGGCCUCUUGCCAUCGGAUGUGCCCAGAUGGGAUUAGCUUGUUGGUGGGGUAACGGCUCACCAAGGCGACGAUCCCUAGCUGGUCUGAGAGGAUGACCAGCCACACUGGAACUGAGACACGGUCCAGACUCCUACGGGAGGCAGCAGUGGGGAAUAUUGCACAAUGGGCGCAAGCCUGAUGCAGCCAUGCCGCGUGUAUGAAGAAGGCCUUCGGGUUGUAAAGUACUUUCAGCGGGGAGGAAGGGAGUAAAGUUAAUACCUUU